CCUACGGGGGGCAGCAGUGGGGAAUUUUGGACAAUGGGGGCAACCCUGAUCCAGCCAUUCCGCGUGAGUGAAGAAGGCCUUCGGGUUGUAAAGCUCUUUUGUCCGGAGCGAAACGGGCGGCCCUAAUACGGUCGUCUACUGACGGUACCGGAAGAAUAAGCACCGGCUAACUACGUGCCAGCAGCCGCGGUAAUACGUAGGGUGCGAGUGUUAAUCGGGCGUACUGGGCGUAAUGCGUGCGCCGGCGGUUGAAUCCCCUGGCUCAACCGUGGAAUGGCAUUUGGGACUGCAAGGAUGGAGUGUGGCAGAGGGGACUAGAAUUCCUGGUGUAGCAGUGAAAUGCGUAGAUAUCAGGAGGAAUACCGAUGGCGAAGGCAGGUCCCUGGGUUAACACUGACGCUCAUGCACGAAAGCGUGGGGAGCAAACAGGAUUAGAUACCCGGGUAGUC
This 449-nucleotide ribosomal RNA is filed under the name uncultured bacterium. Its description in RNAcentral is "partial 16S ribosomal RNA". It matches the Rfam family "Bacterial small subunit ribosomal RNA", at positions 338 to 795 of the family's 1533-position model. The record is from RNAcentral.